Molecule: non-coding RNA, 131 nt
Filed under: Thalassiosira minuscula
Lineage: Eukaryota; Bacillariophyta; Thalassiosirophyceae; Thalassiosirales; Thalassiosiraceae
Source: RNAcentral
CCAUGGAGGAGGCCACCACGGCAUCGUUGCUGGGUACGCAGCUUGACAGAGGCAACCAACGCAAGGGCGGCGUUAACUCUGCUGGCUCGCAGCCAUCACCGACCAGCGUCUCGGUGGGCAACGAACGCGUC